CAAAGAGCCAACGCCUCCACUUUUAGAUCCUUUGACAAAUGGAAUGGAAAGACUGGUGGAUAUGACAGUUCUUAUUAAAGUAAAAGGAAAAUGUACAACAGAUCACAUUUCUGCUGCUGGACCUUGGUUAAAAUACAGAGGGCAUUUAGACAACAUCUCAAAUAAUAUGUUUAUAGGAGCUGUAAAUUCGGAAAAUAACGAAAUGAAUAAGAUUAGAAAUCAGCGGACGGGUCAAUGGGAGGUGUACCCGACGUUGCACGAGAUUACAAGGCUAAUGACAUUAAGUGGUUGCAAUCGGUGAUGAAAACUAUGGAGAAGGUUCAUCACGCGAACAUGCUGCUCUAGACACGACAUCUUGCGGUAGAGCAAUCAUUGUUAAAUCAUUUGCCCGCAUUCACGAAACAAACUUAAAAAAACAGGGUUUGUUACCUUUGACAUUUGCAAAUCCAGCCGACUACGAUAAGAUUAAACCAGAAAGUAAAAUUUCUCUUAUCGGGCUAGAAAAGUAGCACCAGGGAAACAAAUUGACUGUGAGAUUAAAACUGGCGACAAAAUUGACAAGAUUAAACUAAAUCACACUCUAAAUGAUUUACAAAUUGGUUGGUUUAAGGCUGGUAGCGCUCUUACCGCAUGAAAGAGCUAGCAAAAUUACAAAAUCAUAACUAAAAUCCAAUAAUUUUUUCUGAUGCUGUUUAAUACAAAUACGAUGUCAUUAUAUGCUAUUUUAAUGGAGAUCUGCUGGUGCCUGUAUAUAUUUUGAAGUCAAGUUACUAUUUAGUAAAUAAUACGUUGUUGUUUUAAUUUAAGUUUGUUUCUGCUCGCAUGAGUUUAUUUAAUUUGUAUUGUAGAACUCAUAAUUAGGAGCUUGGCCAAAUAAAUAAAAUAACGCAGGUGAACAAAUUAGUAAUUUAUUCAAUUACUACGAUAAUAAAUUUUGUAGAAAUAUAUGUAAAAAAUUA
Molecule: non-coding RNA, 959 nt
Organism: Bactrocera oleae (olive fruit fly)
Lineage: Eukaryota; Metazoa; Arthropoda; Insecta; Diptera; Tephritidae
Source: RefSeq, a predicted model, not a curated record